Molecule: transfer RNA, 74 nt
Filed under: Candida gigantensis
Lineage: Eukaryota; Fungi; Ascomycota; Pichiomycetes; Serinales; Debaryomycetaceae
Description: tRNA-Leu
Rfam family: tRNA
About the family: Transfer RNA (tRNA) molecules are approximately 80 nucleotides in length. Their secondary structure includes four short double-helical elements and three loops (D, anti-codon, and T loops).
Source: RNAcentral
AUGACCAUGGCGAAACUGGUAGACGCGGUGAACUUAGGAUUCCCUCUCUGUGGGUUCGACUCCCACUGGUCAUA